Molecule: long non-coding RNA, 948 nt
Organism: Xenia sp. Carnegie-2017
Lineage: Eukaryota; Metazoa; Cnidaria; Anthozoa; Malacalcyonacea; Xeniidae
Exons: 2
Source: RefSeq, a predicted model, not a curated record
AAAUAGCGAUCUUUGAUUCAACAAUGGAUUCUUAUUAUUUUUUAUUACAUUUAAAAGAUUUUAGAAACAGAAAAGAUACGACGCAUUUAAAAAAGUCAAAGAAAAAACAGAAUUGAUCACCCACUACAAAGUACAAAUCCAAAUUGGAAUGACAACGAAAUCUCUGGAGAAUAAUCGAAUUUCAACAACGAAAAUUAUAUUGAAAAUUUAGAUUUCAGAAUACGGGAUCACAACCAAAAUAGAAACAGAACGUCUUCGAGGUCAAGAGGUCAUAUUUGCGCAAAAUUGUGAAAACACACAAUACUUAUUUCAAAUUUUAAAUUUGAAUCAUUUGCAUCAAGACGUUUAACACAGCUACAACCUGGAUGAUUGAGAAAAGAAAGAAAAUUUGGAAACCUUAAUCGCGUAGAAAGAAUAAGAAACAUGAAACGACAAAUUAAAACAGAAAAUAAUAAAAGAUUAAAAAAACAACCUAAUACUUGAAGAAACCAUCCACGAACGAACACUACGAACACCACCUAAGAUAGUUCCUUCCAAGGAAUCAUGAAGACGAAGAUCAAAACUUGGAAAAACCUCUUAUUCGCAAAAAGAUUGAAUGGAAUAAUCAAUGAUCCAAUCCACUUUUUAAGAUUAUAGGAGAUCUAUAAAUUAGACCUUCCUAUUUCACGCUCUUCUUCGGCAAUCUAUUAAAUUUUAAGUAAUACAAAAGCUACAUUGUUCACAGAAUCGACAAAAAGGUAGAAACUUUAUGCUCAUGCCUACAUGCAAACAGAUGACAUCUUUGAAGGAACACGAAAGAAGAUCAGUUAGUGCAUGCGCGAGACGAGACCAAAUGUUUAGCGUUAGCACCUGCUUAAGUCAGCAAGCCAGUGCAAAAACGAAAAACAUCUUUCAUUCCUUUCAUGAAAUAACGAUAAUGCAAAACAAAUAAAUAGAAUGUUUUAAUGA